RNAcentral lists this RNase P RNA (386 nucleotides) under Pseudomonadota bacterium. RNAcentral's name for it is "RNase P RNA component class A". It matches the Rfam family "Bacterial RNase P class A". From Rfam's summary of the family: Ribonuclease P (RNase P) is a ubiquitous endoribonuclease, found in archaea, bacteria and eukarya as well as chloroplasts and mitochondria. Its best characterised activity is the generation of mature 5'-ends of tRNAs by cleaving the 5'-leader elements of precursor-tRNAs. The record is from RNAcentral. Lineage: Bacteria; Pseudomonadati; Pseudomonadota.
CCAGGCGGCCGGGCGACCGCGGCUCCCGAAAGGGGGGCGAGGAAAGUCCGGGCUCCACGAAAAAACGGUGCCGGGUAACGCCCGGCGGACUCUUGCCCAGGGGAACUUGGGUCAGGGUUCAGGGACAGUGCCACAGAAAACAGACCGCCUGCUUUCGGGCGGGUAAGGGCGAAACGGUGCGGCAAGAGCGCACCGCGGCUUCGGUAACGCGGCCGGCACGGCAAACCCCACCGGGUGCAAGACCGAAUAGGGGUGACGCAUGAGCUUUUUCGGCUCGUCACCCGGGUUGGUCGCUUGAGCGGCGGGGUAAUCCGCCGCCUAGAGGAAUGGUCGCCCAGGUGCCGCAAGGUGCUGGACAGAACCCGGCUUACAGGCCGCCUGGUGUU